AUGCAAACAUCAGUCACUCAUUCAUACUUAUUCAUUCGUUCCUUUUUGACAUUCAUUCUAUUGGAGAGAAUCGGACGGAUUGCACGUUGGAGUCUAUAACCUCCACCCCAAAAUUGUUUUACAAUUAAUUAACGUGUAUCCAAUGUGUCAAUAUACGCAAUUCGAAAUUUAACAAGUGUUUCCAUGAACAUUUGUUUUUGGUCCAUCGAGCCUUCUACUUAGAACAGUGAAGAGGACAGUGAUCAUUUGUUUUUGUUCCAUCGAGCCUUCUAUAAAAGUGAAGAGGACAGUGAACAUUUGUAUUGGUCAUCGAGCUUUCUAUAAAAGUGAAAUCGUGAAAUUAUAAUAUUACAUGGAGUUUGGUGUGCUGCAAAUUUACUCAUAAAACUGAACGUUGGUGGUCAUCCCACUACAACCUGAGUGCCGUCAUCAAUCUACCGACCGGGUGCCGAUAGUCAUCAUAUUUUAUCAAAAAUACUCAAAAUACAAGUUCGUCGUGUGAAGAAUCAAAAUGGCUGAACGUAUGCCGUCUCCCCGCCGAAACGCAAGACCAUGAAGUUGGGCGCAGAAAGAAGCGAACAUUGAACGAGUUGAAGAACGAACAAGAAGAACGAGGUGAACAUAGGCGCUACUUCCGGAAGACAUCAUUCUUUACUUCUUCCCUUGUUAAUGGCGAUGGACUUAUUCUGUUUCGCCACUAAGUGCAUAAAAAUCAUUCAUUUCUUCCGUUCCUUCCCGCGUUUUUAUAUAGUUGGCGUCCUGUCAUCUGUCAACUGUCUUUCAUUCGUUCGUUUCAUUUUAUCUUGUCGUUAGAAAUUUGUCUCUUCGGGAUUUUGGAUAAAAGUUUAGUAAAUAAAGUCGUGGUUCAAUUUCCAAGCCAUGGCCGAAAAGACAUUAGAAAGGGGGUACGUGAAGGCAGGAAUAACACGCCUAAAACACUUUUGUUUUUCGGAUUCUUUCGAAUCCGCAAGUGUCGACGCUCUCCGCUUAAAAAGAGAACGUUUAAUUAAUCUGUUUAAAGAAUAUGAAUUAAUAAACAAAAGUAUCCUGAAUACCAAUGCCGAUGACAGCGAGGACGUCGGCAAGGUUGAGGAUGUAUAUUACGAGUGCAUGGAGUUGUUGGACGCCAGACUAAACCGCCAAAAUAAUGGUAUACAAAGAGAAAAAGGUGAGUACAGUCGUCUUCCACCAAUAAAUAUUAAACCUUUUAAUGGCUCCAACAUUGUGGAUUACUAUCCUUUUAUUAACAUGUUCACAUCGGUGAUUGACAGUAACCAAAGUUUGACCCCAUGCGAAAAAUUAUACUACUUUCGCUCAUAUUUAAUGGGAGAGGCUUUGGAUAUUGUCAAAAACUUGACUUUAAAUGGUGACAAUUAUCAGGAGGCAUUAAAAUUGAUUAAAGACAGAUAUGAUAAUAUUCCAAAAAUGGUAAAUCAUCACAUAAAUAGUAUUCUAGAAUACAAGGCAUUCAAUAAAUGCACAUCUCAAAAUAUUAGGUCCCUGAUAGCCUUUGUCAAUUUGCAUUUAGCGGCAUUAAAAAAUUUAAAGCAACCCGUUGAACACUGGGAUUUGUUAUUGAUUAAUAUUUUGAGUAAAAAAGUAGAUUCCUACACAUUGAGAGGUUUCCAUUUGGAAAGAGAUGCAAAGACUCUUCCCACAUUAUCAGAAUUGUUACAAUUUUUAGAAAGGCGCGCAUUAGCUAUGGAGACAAAUGAGGAGAGGCCUGCUCCAGCCAAAUCAACCAGCAAUGUAGCAGCCAUCAAGACAACAAUAUGUCCUGCAGCGUGAGUCGCUGCCAGUUACUCCAAAUGGCCCUUUCCUGGUUAAUACAUUGUUCGGGUAUGUGGUAGCAGGCAGCCUGCCUGUCUCCGCUGGUAACAUCUCAUCUUCUAAUGUUUGUGUCACUAUUAAAGGUAACAAAUUUGGCUUCCAUAAUAAUGCUUCUGAGACACCUUUUGAUCCUAUAGAUCAAACAUUUAAUUAUUCUGAAAAUAAUUGUAAAAAUAUUAAUGACUUAGAAAAAACAAUGUCAAAUUUUUGGGAAUGUGAAAAAGUACCAGUUUUAUUCACUGAAUCCUCAUCUGAACAGCAAUUAGCUGAAGAAAUAUUUUUGGAAUCUGUUAAAUUAGAAAACAAUCGUUUUUCUGUUGCUUUGCCAUUGAAACAAGAUUUAGAUCAGAUUAAUUUGGGUGAUUCUUUGCACAGUGCCUUGCUAAGACUUUAUAAUUUAGAAAAGAGAUUUUCAAAGGAUCCUGAAUUGUUUGUAAAGUAUAAAGAUUUCGUUGAUAAAUACCUAGCAGAUGGCCAUGGAAAGUAUUUUGAUAUUUCAAACUAUGAUUUGAACAAAGGAAAUGUUUAUUUUUUGCCCCAUCAUCCUGUUUUAAGUAAAAGCAAAACCACUCCGGUUAGAGCAGUUUUUGAUGCUAGCAUGAAUGCUAAAAAUAAAGUUUGUUUGAAUGAUUUAUUGCUAAAUGGUCCUACAGUGCAAAAAGAUUUGUUUGAUAUACUUAUAUUACUGAGAACUUAUAAAUAUGUUUUAUUGUGUGACAUAAAAAGCAUGUAUAGGCAGGUUUUAAUUGAAAACAAGUUUUGUUGCUUACAAAAUAUUUUAUGGCGUGAAUCUCCGCAUGAUCCUGUUCGUUGCAUUCAACUGCAAACUGUCACUUAUGGCUUAAAAAGUUCUUCUUUCCUAGCUACACGAUGCCUUAUCGAACUUGCACAGCGCUACAAAAAUGACUAUCCUUUAGCAUCUUUUGCCUUGCUUCAUUCAAGUUAUGUUGAUGAUAUACAAUGCGGCUCUAAUCAACUGAGUGAGUUAGAGCAAAUUAAGAAUGAGUUAAUUAAGCUUUUGGGUUUAGGAGGCUUCUCAUUGCACAAGUGGUGUUCAAAUCAAAUAGAUAUUUUAUCAGACAUCCCUAGUGAAUUACACAGUGUAACUGAAAAAGAUUUUGACAAAAUUAACACCUACAUUAAAACAUUAGGUUUAUCCUAUGAUCUGUUCUGUGAUAUGUUUAAAAUAACUUGUCCAGAAAUUAAUUUACAAGAGUCUUACACAAAACGUCAAGUGUUAAGUUUUAUUAGUAAAUUCUUUGACCCGUUGGGACUUGUUGGCCCUAUCUUUACACAAGCUAAGGUUUUGAUGCAGCAAUUGUGGUUUGAAAAUCUAAAGUGGGAUGAAGUAUUACCAGCUGAAUUACAUGAUCAGUGGGUUCAAUUCGUUAAAAGCUUAAUUAAAAUGCAUUGCAUUUCUGUGCCACGAAAUAUAAAUACGCUUAAUGCUGUUUCUAUAGAACUUAUCGGAUUUUGCGACGCCUCCAAUAAGGCAUACGGUUGUUGUUUAUACUUACGUGUAAUUGACGCUGACAAUGUUGUUAGAAUCAUGCUGUUGUGUUCAAAAUCUCGCAUCAAUCCGAGGAAUAAGUGCUUAACAACACCGCGUCUAGAACUCAACAGUGCUUUGCUACUUGCUAUACUGGCUAGGAAGGUGCAUUCGAUAUUAACACUUAAGUAUGAGAUCAAGACGUUUUUGUACUCAGAUUCUCAAAUAGUCUUGUCAUGGCUUGGAAUUGAACCAGCGAAACUCAGCGUUUAUGUGUCUAACCGGGUUGAGAAAAUAAGGCAGUUGACAAGUGAUUUUCAAUGGAGUUAUGUUUCUACAAAUGAAAACCCUGCUGAUUGUUUGUCCAGGGGUGUACAACCUUGUUCCUUACAAAAUAAUUUGUUGUGGUGGAACGGUCCAUCAUAUUUGAAGGACAAAAAUUAUAAACAUUGUAAAAGUGAUGAAUGUGUUGAAAAUGUCAAUACCUUACCUGAAAUAAAAAUGACUAAUGUCUGUAAAAAUGUUAAUAACUUACCUGAAAAGACGGUCUCAAAUGUAUGUACUGCUCAGGAAAAGGAUAAUUGUAUUGUAGAAUUUUUGAAUAAAUAUUCUGAUAUUGAUAAAAUGACAAGGAUCAUGGCAUACAUGUUGAGAUUUGUUCAUAAUUGUAAGAUCCAGAACAAAGAUUGUAAAUUGAGAGGUUUUUUGACGCCUAAAGAACUCAAGUCAGCAUUGUGUUUAAUUUUAAAAAUUGAUCAAGAAAGAUAUUUUCAUGUAGAAAUUAAUAACUUAUUAUCAAAUAUGCCAAUAAAGACAAAUAUUGCCAGUCUGAAUCCAUUUGUUGAUGCUCAGGGUUUACUAAGAGUGGGAGGCAGAUUGCAAAAUGCUGUAUUAUCAUUUACUAAAAAGCAUCCAAUUAUUUUGUCUAAAGAUUCAAAUAUUACUAAACUAAUUAUUUUACAAGAACAUUUGAGACUUUUGCAUGCAGGACAGAAAUUAGUGUUAAGUAGUUUAUCUGAAAACUAUUGGAUUGUUAAUGCUAAUAGGGUGAUAAAAUCUGUAUUAUAUAAAUGUAUAAUUUGUUUCAAAUUAAAAGCAAAAAAUGCAACUCAGUUGAUGGGUUCAUUACCUUUGGAUAGAGUGCAAAUGACUCGUCCAUUCCAAAUUGUGGGCACUGAUUAUGGUGGUCCCUUUUAUGUAAAACAGAGUAGAAUUCGCAAACCUGUUAUAACUAAAGCAUAUAUUGUUAUAUUUGUAUGUUUUGUAACUAAAGCAAUUCAUAUAGAACUUGCUUCUGAUAUGUCAACAAAUACAUUUUUGGCCUGUCUUAAGAGAUUCAUUGCUCGUAGAAAUAAGCCUACCAAAAUUUAUUGCGAUAAUGCUGCUAAUUAUAAGGGAGCUAAUAAUGUAAUGAAAGAUUUGUAUAAACUGUUUGACACCACAGAACACCAAAAUGCUGUGAUGAAUUACUCAAACUCAGAAAGAAUAACUUUUCAUUUUAUUCCAUCUUAUUCCCCAGUUUUUGGUGGUCUGUGGGAGGCAGGCAUAAAAAGUGUUAAACACCACAUGAAGCGUGUCAUUGGUGAUACUGUUUUAACUUAUGAGGAAAUGUAUACUGUGGUUGUUCAAAUAGAGAGCAUAUUGAAUUCAAGGCCCAUUACACCCAUGUCUAGAGAUCCUGAAGACAUGUCCUAUUUGACACCUGGACAUUUUCUCACUGGUUCGCCUCUUAUUACAUAUCCUGAGAUUAAUGUCACAGACGAACCAAUUGGUAGAUUAAGUUUUUGGAAACAAUGUGUAAAAAUGCAACAGUGCUUUUGGAAGCAAUGGCACAAACAAUACCUAGUUAUGCUUCAGAGUAGGCCUAAAUGGAAAAAUGAGUCUAACAACAUUAAGAUUGGGACAAUGGUAUUGUUAAAGGACGACAAUGUAUCACCACUGAAUUGGCCAGUUGGUAGAGUCCAUGAUGUUAUGCCGGGCAAAGACGGCAAGGUUAGAGCCUUAGAAAUAAAAACCUGUAAAGGUUCAAUUAUUAGAACUAGUAUAAUGAAAGUUUGUGUCUUACCUAUUCAUGAAGAUUAAUAUUGUGUUAGCCAAUAAAGGGCAUUUCAUAUGUUUUUUAAAGAACUAGAUAACUAGUAAUUAAGAAAACUUCACUUUAAGAUAAAUAAUCGUACAUGCCAAUGUGUGUAAUCUUUGUAGAUGUUUAUGUUUAUAUUAUUUUAGUUAACUUACUAAAGAUAAAGUAGGUUCAUGUUUUUAGUUUAAAGUUAAAGUAAGAUAUUGUAUGUAAAGGUUUCGUAAGAUAACGAUUUCCUAGUUACUUUAUUCAAUCUUUUACGAUAAGAUUAGUGUUUGUAAUACUGAUUGACUAUGUUUCGCAUUGAAAGUUGGGUUUUAAAUUCUAUUUCAAUACUGUCUAGAGGUUGUUUAAUUCUAACUAUUAGACCGUAUAAAAAUUAAAAACUUAAAAUACAGUCCACUAUUUAUUUAGAGCGAGUUAUCGAGUUAAAUUUUUUAUUUCAUGUAUUAAGCAGAAACUUUUGCCUUUGGCCCCCAAUAUGUUCAAUGCAAACAUCAGUCACUCAUUCAUACUUAUUCAUUCGUUCCUUUUUGACAUUCAUUCUAUUGGAGAGAAUCGGACGGAUUGCACGUUGGAGUCUAUAACCUCCACCCCAAAAUUGUUUUACAAUUAAUUAACGUGUAUCCAAUGUGUCAAUAUACGCAAUUCGAAAUUUAACAA
Molecule: long non-coding RNA, 6062 nt
Organism: Ostrinia nubilalis (European corn borer)
Lineage: Eukaryota; Metazoa; Arthropoda; Insecta; Lepidoptera; Crambidae
Exons: 2
Source: RefSeq, a predicted model, not a curated record